RNAcentral lists this unclassified non-coding RNA (266 nucleotides) under Glomus sp. RNAcentral's name for it is "partial contains 5.8S ribosomal RNA and internal transcribed spacer 2". The stretch from base 1 to 65 matches the Rfam family "5.8S ribosomal RNA", at positions 84 to 154 of the family's 154-position model. The record is from RNAcentral. Lineage: Eukaryota; Fungi; Glomeromycota; Glomeromycetes; Glomerales; Glomeraceae.
GUGAAUCAUCGAAUCUUUGAACGCAAAUUGCACUCUCUGCGGAGAGUAUGCGUGUUUGUGGGUGAGCGUAAAAAAAAUCGACAUAGUUUCUGUUUCGUGGUGACAUUCGUCGGAAAUUGGGUCAUCUUAAACCUUUGGGUGGUAAGGGGCUUAAAAUUUUUUUUUGGAUUCCACAAACGUUUCUAAGAUUUUACUUCUUACACUGUUAAGGUGACGAUCUUUAUUAGACGUGGCCGUGGCAUCGGUUCACGUCCAUAAAUAUUUCU